RNAcentral lists this ribosomal RNA (472 nucleotides) under uncultured bacterium. RNAcentral describes it as "bacterial SSU rRNA". It matches the Rfam family "Bacterial small subunit ribosomal RNA", at positions 328 to 793 of the family's 1533-position model. The record is from RNAcentral.
CGUUAAGACUCCUACGGGAGGCAGCAGUGGGGAAUAUUGCACAAUGGGGGAAACCCUGAUGCAGCCAUGCCGCGUGUGUGAAGAAGGCCUUCGGGUUGUAAAGCACUUUCAGUAGGGAGGAAGGUAGUGUAGUUAACACCUGCACUAUUUGACGUUACCUACAGAAGAAGCACCGGCUAACUCCGUGCCAGCAGCCGCGGUAAUACGGAGGGUGCGAGCGUUAAUCGGAAUUACUGGGCGUAAAGCGCAUGCAGGCGGCCUGUUAAGUCAGAUGUGAAAGCCCGGGGCUUAACCUCGGAAUUGCAUUUGAAACUGGCAGGCUAGAGUCUUGUAGAGGGGGUAGAAUUUCAGGUGUAGCGGUGAAAUGCGUAGAGAUCUGAAGGAAUACCAGUGGCGAAGGCGGCCCCCUGGACAAAGACUGACGCUCAGAUGCGAAAGCGUGGGGAGCAAACAGGAUUAGAUACCCUGGUAG